Ipomoea nil (Japanese morning glory) is the source of this 357-nucleotide long non-coding RNA. RefSeq lists it as uncharacterized. The transcript has 4 exons. Lineage: Eukaryota; Viridiplantae; Streptophyta; Magnoliopsida; Solanales; Convolvulaceae. The record is from RefSeq and is a predicted model, not a curated record.
CGCUCAGCCAGUCAACCUCACCACCUCACGGCCCUCACCCAUUGCAGACUCUUGGUUCUUCACUUCUUCCAAGUUCCAACUAUAAGGUCUUAAAAUAGGAAAAUGUACAAUAUGUUGUGGCGCCAUAUGAAGCAGAUGUUGAAAUGACCUUUCUGGCAGUCAGCAAACAGGUUGAUGCAAUUAUAACAGAGGACUUAGAUUUGACAGACUUUGGUUGCAUUAGAAAACUACCUUUGACAUGGUGGUUUUGUUCUCUCUGUUUUACUUACACACAUACAAUCAUACAUAACCCAGUGAGAAGCAACAAUCAAAGCAUCCAUCAAGUGAUAUCCACAAAAAGCGCUUGGAUGUGGUAAG